GUGCUAUGGAGGUGCUUGGAGGCGAAGAGUGUGCCAGAAGCCUAUAUCAGAGUUAUCAAGGACAUGUACGAUGGAGCUAAGACUAGGGCGAGGACGGUGAGUGGCGAAUCAGACCAUUUCCCUGUAGUAAUGGGGCUCCAUCAAGGGUCGGCACUGAGCCCCCUGUUGUUCGCCUUAGUGAUAGAUGCUCUAACCCGACAUAUCCAAGGGGAUGUGCCUUGGUGUAUGCUCUUUGCUGAUGAUAUAAUAUUGAUGCUCUAACCCGACAUAUCCAAGGGGAUGUGCCUUGGUGUAUACUCUUUGCUGAUGAUAUAAUAUUGAUAGACGAGACGAGGGCCGGUGUUAGUGAAAGGUUAGAGGUAUGGAGACAUACCCUCGAGUCUAAGGGGUUCAAAAUAAGCAGAUCUAAGACGGAUUAUCUGGAGUGCAAGUUUAGCGACGAGCCGAGUGGGGUAGGCAGGGAAGUGAUGCUUGGUUCACAGGCCAUCGCCAAAAGGGACAGUGUCCGUUAUCUUGGGUCUGUGAUUUAGGGGGACGGAGCGAUCGACGGGGACGUCACCCAUCGGAUAGGAGCAGGGUGGUCGAAGUGGAGGCUUGCUUCAGGGGUCCUGUGUGACAAGAAAAUUCCACACAAACUCAAGGGNNN
RNAcentral lists this long non-coding RNA (646 nucleotides) under Nicotiana benthamiana. RNAcentral's name for it is "long non-coding RNA (NBEN_LNC031732)". Lineage: Eukaryota; Viridiplantae; Streptophyta; Magnoliopsida; Solanales; Solanaceae. The record is from RNAcentral.